RNAcentral lists this ribosomal RNA (162 nucleotides) under uncultured Enterobacteriaceae bacterium. RNAcentral's name for it is "partial 16S ribosomal RNA". It matches the Rfam family "Bacterial small subunit ribosomal RNA", at positions 370 to 525 of the family's 1533-position model. The record is from RNAcentral. Lineage: Bacteria; Pseudomonadati; Pseudomonadota; Gammaproteobacteria; Enterobacterales; Enterobacteriaceae.
CAUGGGCGCAGCCUGAUGCAGCCAUGCCGCGUGUAUGAAGAAGGCCUUCGGGUUGUAAAGUACUUUCAGCGGGGAGGAAGGGAGUAAAGUUAAUACCUUUGCUCAUUGACGUUACCCGCAGAAGAAGCACCGGCUAACUCCGUGCCAGCAGCCGCGGUAAUA